This 253-nucleotide ribosomal RNA is filed under the name uncultured bacterium. RNAcentral describes it as "partial 16S ribosomal RNA". It matches the Rfam family "Bacterial small subunit ribosomal RNA", at positions 524 to 776 of the family's 1533-position model. The record is from RNAcentral.
UACGGGGGGGGCAAGCGUUGUUCGGAAUUACUGGGCGUAAAGGGCUCGUAGGCGGCCAACUAAGUCAGACGUGAAAUCCCCAGGCUCAACCUGGGGACUGCGUCUGAUACUGGAUGGCUUGAAUCCGGGAGAGGGAUGCGGAAUUCCAGGUGUAGCGGUGAAAUGCGUAGAUAUCUGGAGGAAUACCGGUGGCGAAGGCGGCAUCCUGGACCGGCAUUGACGCUGAGGAGCGAAAGCCAGGGGAGCAAACGGG